UGUGUAGGUGGCGCGCUAAGUCGGGUGUGAAAUUUCGGAGCUUAACUCCGAAACUGCAUUCGAUACUGGCGUGCUUGAGGACUGGAGAGGAGACUGGAAUUCAUGGUGUAGCAGUGAAACGCGUAGAGAUCAUGAGGAAGACCAGUGGCGAAGGCGGGUCUCUGGACAGUUCCUGACACUGAGACACGAAGGCCAGGGGAGCAAACG
RNAcentral lists this ribosomal RNA (207 nucleotides) under uncultured bacterium. Its description in RNAcentral is "partial 16S ribosomal RNA". It matches the Rfam family "Bacterial small subunit ribosomal RNA", at positions 568 to 774 of the family's 1533-position model. The record is from RNAcentral.